GACGAACGUUGGCGGCGUGCUUAACACAUGCAAGUCGAACGGAAAGGCCCUGCUUUUGUGGGGUGCUCGAGUGGCGAACGGGUGAGUAACACGUGAGUAACCUGCCCUUGACUUUGGGAUAACUUCAGGAAACUGGGGCUAAUACCGGAUAGGAGCUCCUGCUGCAUGGUGGGGGUUGGAAAGUUUCGGCGGUUGGGGAUGGACCCGCGGCUUAUCAGCUUGUUGGUGGGGUAGUGGCUUACCAAGGCUUUGACGGGUAGCCGGCCUGAGAGGGUGACCGGCCACAUUGGGACUGAGAUACGGCCCAGACUCCUACGGGAGGCAGCAGUGGGGAAUAUUGCACAAUGGGCGGAAGCCUGAUGCAGCAACGCCGCGUGCGGGAUGACGGCCUUCGGGUUGUAAACCGCUUUCGCCUGUGACGAAGCGUGAGUGACGGUAAUGGGUAAAGAAGCACCGGCUAACUACGUGCCAGCAGCCGCGGUGAUACGUAGGGUGCGAGCGUUGUCCGGAUUUAUUGGGCGUAAAGGGCUCGUAGGUGGUUGAUCGCGUCGGAAGUGUAAUCUUGGGGCUUAACCCUGAGCGUGCUUUCGAUACGGGUUGACUUGAGGAAGGUAGGGGAGAAUGGAAUUCCUGGUGGAGCGGUGGAAUGCGCAGAUAUCAGGAGGAACACCAGUGGCGAAGGCGGUUCUCUGGGCCUUUCCUGACGCUGAGGAGCGAAAGCGUGGGGAGCGAACAGGCUUAGAUACCCUGGUAGUCCACGCUGUAAACGGUGGGUACUAGGUGUGGGGUCCAUUCCACGGGUUCCGUGCCGUAGCUAACGCUUUAAGUACCCCGCCUGGGGAGUACGGCCGCAAGGCUAAAACUCAAAGGAAUUGACGGGGCCCCGCACAAGCGGCGGAGCAUGCGGAUUAAUUCGAUGCAACGCGUAGAACCUUACCUGGGUUUGACAUGGAUCGGGAGUGCUCAGAGAUGGGUGUGCCUCUUUUGGGGUCGGUUCACAGGUGGUGCAUGGCUGUCGUCAGCUCGUGUCGUGAGAUGUUGGGUUAAGUCCCGCAACGAGCGCAACCCUUGUUCACUGUUGCCAGCACGUUAUGGUGGGGACUCAGUGGAGACCGCCGGGGUCAACUCGGAGGAAGGUGGGGAUGACGUCAAGUCAUCAUGCCCCUUAUGUCCAGGGCUUCACGCAUGCUACAAUGGCUGGUACAGAGAGUGGCGAGCCUGUGAGGGUGAGCGAAUCUCGGAAAGCCGGUCUCAGUUCGGAUUGGGGUCUGCAACUCGACCUCAUGAAGUCGGAGUCGCUAGUAAUCGCAGAUCAGCAACGCUGCGGUGAAUACGUUCCCGGGGCU
Molecule: ribosomal RNA, 1346 nt
Filed under: uncultured bacterium
Lineage: Bacteria
Description: partial 16S ribosomal RNA
Rfam family: Bacterial small subunit ribosomal RNA
Source: RNAcentral